GACGAACGCUGGCGGCGUGCUUAACACAUGCAAGUCGAACGGUGAACCUCUUCGGAGGGGAUCAGUGGCGAACGGGUGAGUAACACGUGGGCAACCUGCCCCCGGCUCUGGGAUAACUCCAAGAAAUUGGGGCUAAUACCGGAUGUUCACCGCUUCCCGCAUGGGUGGUGGUGGAAAGGGUUUCCGGCUGGGGGUGGGCCCGCGGCCUAUCAGCUUGUUGGUGGGGUAGGGGCCUACCAAGGCGACGACGGGUAGCCGGCCUGAGAGGGUGACCGGCCACACUGGGACUGGGGAGCGGCCCAGACUCCUACGGGGGGCAGCAGUGGGGAAUAUUGCGCAAUGGGCGGAAGCCUGACGCAGCGACGCCGCGUGGGGGAUGACGGCCUUCGGGUUGUAAACCUCUUUCAGCAGGGACGAAGCGCAAGUGACGGUACCUGCAGAAGAAGCACCGGCCAACUACGUG
This 463-nucleotide ribosomal RNA is filed under the name uncultured bacterium. RNAcentral's name for it is "partial 16S ribosomal RNA". It matches the Rfam family "Bacterial small subunit ribosomal RNA", at positions 28 to 507 of the family's 1533-position model. The record is from RNAcentral.